UUCCCGUACUUCUGACUAUUGCGAUGGGGGGACGGAGAAGGCUAGGUGGGCCAGGCGACGGUUGUCCUGGUUCAAGUGCGUAGGCUUGAGAGUUAGGUAAAUCCGGCUCUCUCUAAGGCUGAGACACGACGUCGAGCUACUACGGUAGUGAAGUCAUUGAUGCCAUGCUUCCAGGAAAAGCCUCUAAGCUUCAGAUAGUCAGGAAUCGUACCCCAAACCGACACAGGUGGUCGGGUAGAGAAUACCAAGGCGCUUGAGAGAACUCGGGUGAAGGAACUAGGCAAAAUGGUACCGUAACUUCGGGAGAAGGUACGCUCUUGAUGGUGAAGUCCCUCGCGGAUGGAGCUGACGAGAGUCGCAGAUACCAGGUGGCUGCAACUGUUUAUUAAAAACACAGCACUGUGCAAAAUCGCAAGAUGACGUAUACGGUGUGACGCCUGCCCGGUGCCGGAAGGUUAAUUGAUGGGGUUAGCGCAAGCGAAGCUCUUGAUCGAAGCCCCGGUAAACGGCGGCCGUAACUAUAACGGUCCUAAGGUAGCGAAAUUCCUUGUCGGGUAAGUUCCGACCUGCACGAAUGGCGUAAUGAUGGCCACGCUGUCUCCACCCGAGACUCAGUGAAAUUGAAAUCGCUGUGAAGAUGCAGUGUACCCGCGGCUAGACGGAAAGACCCCGUGAACCUUUACUACAGCUUGGCACUGAACAUUGAACCUACAUGUGUAGGAUAGGUGGGAGGCUAUGAAGACGUGACGCCAGUUGCGUUGGAGCCGUCCUUGAAAUACCACCCUUGUAUGUUUGAUGUUCUAACUUAGACCCAUUAUCUGGGUUGAGGACAGUGCCUGGUGGGUAGUUUGACUGGGGCGGUCUCCUCCCAAAGAGUAACGGAGGAGCACGAAGGUGGGCUAAUCACGGUUGGACAUCGUGAGGUUAGUGCAAUGGCAUAAGCCCGCUUAACUGCGAGAAUGACGGUUCGAGCAGGUGCGAAAGCAGGUCAUAGUGAUCCGGUGGUUCUGUAUGGAAGGGCCAUCGCUCAACGGAUAAAAGGUACUCCGGGGAUAACAGGCUGAUACCGCCCAAGAGUUCAUAUCGACGGCGGUGUUUGGCACCUCGAUGUCGGCUCAUCACAUCCUGGGGCUGAAGUCGGUCCCAAGGGUAUGGCUGUUCGCCAUUUAAAGUGGUACGCGAGCUGGGUUUAGAACGUCGUGAGACAGUUCGGUCCCUAUCUGCCGUGGGCGUUGGAAGAUUGAAGGGGGCUGCUCCUAGUACGAGAGGACCGGAGUGGACGAACCUCUGGUGUUCGGGUUGUGUCGCCAGACGCAUUGCCCGGUAGCUAAGUUCGGAAUUGAUAAGCGCUGAAAGCAUCUAAGCGCGAAGCGAGCCCUGAGAUGAGUCUUCCCUGACAGUUUAACUGUCCUAAAGGGUUGUUCGAGACUAGAACGUUGAUAGGCAGGGUGUGUAAGCGUUGUGAGGCGUUGAGCUAACCUGUACUAAUUGCCCGUGAGGCUUAACCAUACAACACCCAAGGGGUUUUGUA
RNAcentral lists this ribosomal RNA (1531 nucleotides) under Vibrio cholerae. RNAcentral describes it as "bacterial LSU rRNA". It matches the Rfam family "Bacterial large subunit ribosomal RNA", at positions 1436 to 2925 of the family's 2925-position model. Lineage: Bacteria; Pseudomonadati; Pseudomonadota; Gammaproteobacteria; Vibrionales; Vibrionaceae. The record is from RNAcentral.